Molecule: ribosomal RNA, 1475 nt
Filed under: uncultured prokaryote
Description: partial 16S ribosomal RNA
Rfam family: Bacterial small subunit ribosomal RNA
Source: RNAcentral
GCUCAGAUUGAACGCUGGCGGCGUGGAUGAGGCACGCAAGUCGAACGAAGCUUACCGAGCUUGCUCGGUUGGCUUAGUGGCGAAAGGGUUAGUAAUACAUGAAUAAUCUGCCUUUAACUCUGGAAUAACGAUUGGAAACGGUCGCUAAUACCGGAUGUGGUGGAGCAAGGCAUCUUGACUUCAUUAAAGUGGGGGAUCGUAAGACCUUGCGGUUGGAGAGGAGCUCAUGGGAUAUCAGCUUGUUGGUGAGGUAAAGGCUCACCAAGGCUAAGACGUCUAGGCGGGUUGAGAGAUUGACCGCCAACACUGGGACUGAGACACUGCCCAGACUCCUACGGGAGGCUGCAGUCGAGAAUCUUUCGCAAUGGGCGAAAGCCUGACGAAGCGACGCCGUGUGAGCGAUGAAGGCCUUCGGGUUGUAAAGCUCUUUCGCCAGGGAACAAGAGAAGUUGACGAAUAAUCAGCUAAUCAGAGGGUACCAGGUAAAGAAGCACCGGCUAACUCCGUGCCAGCAGCUGCGGUAAUACGGAGGGUGCAAGCGUUAAUCGGAUUUAUUGGGCGUAAAGGGCGCGUAGGCGGGGUGGACAGUUAGAUGUGAAAGUCCGGAGCUCAACUCCGGAACCGCGUUUGAAACUGCCUUUCUUGAGGUUAGGCGGAGAAAGCGGAAUUCCACGUGUAGCGGUGAAAUGCGUAGAUAUGUGGAAGAACACCGGUGGCGAAGGCGGCCUUCUAGCUUAUUCCUGACGCUGAGGCGCGAAAGCAAGGGUAGCAAACAGGAUUAGAUACCCUGGUAGUCCUUGCCGUAAACGAUGCACACUUGGUGUAGCCGGUCUCAACCCCGGCUUUGCCGGAGCUAACGCGUUAAGUGUGCCGCCUGGGGAGUACGCUCGCAAGGGUGAAACUCAAAAGAAUUGACGGGGACCCGCACAAGCAGUGGAGCAUGUGGUUUAAUUCGAUGCAACGCGAAGAACCUUACCCAGGCUUGACAUGCAGAGGCCAACACCAGAGAUGGUGUGUUCCUUCGGGACCUCUGCACAGGUGCUGCAUGGCUGUCGUCAGCUCGUGCCGUGAGGUGUUGGGUUAAGUCCCGCAACGAGCGCAACCCUUAUCGUUAGUUGCCAGCAUUUAAGGUGGGAACUCUAACGAGACUGCCUGGGUUAACCAGGAGGAAGGUGAGGAUGACGUCAAGUCAGCAUGGCCCUUAUGCCUAGGGCUACACACGUGCUACAAUGGCCGGUACAGAAGGCAGCGAAUCCGCAAGGUGGAGCAAAUCCAAAAAGCCGGUCCCAGUUCGGAUAGUAGUCUGCAACUCGACUACAUGAAGUUGGAAUUGCUAGUAAUGGCGUGUCGGCAACAACGCCGUGAUACGUUCCCGGGUCUUGUACACACCGCCCGUCACAUCAUGGGAGUUGGUUUUACCCGAAGUCGCUGACUUAACCGCAAGGAGAGAGGCGCCGAAGGUGAGGCUGAUGACU